Molecule: long non-coding RNA, 541 nt
Filed under: Rattus norvegicus (Norway rat)
Lineage: Eukaryota; Metazoa; Chordata; Mammalia; Rodentia; Muridae
Description: long non-coding RNA NONRATT032793
Source: RNAcentral
GCUAUGACACCGGACCGCUCCCAGGGCUGGGAGGUGGGGCAGCCGCCACUGUUACAGGUCUAUCUACAAACCAGAAAGGCAAAAUGUGAUUUAUAUUCCCUAAGCUUGCAUCAUCCACCUUUGGGAAAGGAAGCAGACUCAAAAUGCUUGAGAAAGAGAUUCAUCUGGAUGGUGUUCAUGCUCAGAGAGUCAGACACAGCUGGGAGGAGAGUGUGCGGAUGCAUCAGGAACGCUCAAAGGAAAAAGAAAACCAGGUUUCUGAAGGGAUUGAACUGACUUUCUGUGCCAAGGGAGAAAGUCCUGACUGUGAGCCAGGAUAGGAGAAAAGGUGUGGAGGGUCAGUCCAGUCUUCCAGUGUUUGAAGAUCAACAAGAGGAAAGGCUCGUUUUCCCAUCAAAUGGACUCCUCAUUAAACUGUGUGAGACAUUUACAAUUACGCAAUGUAAAUAAUAUUACCUUUGAAUAUUAAGAUGCAGAAAUCUGAAGCAAUCAAAUAUAUUCUAAACCCUCUGAAAUAAUUAACAUCAGCUCUGUAGGAGAG